CUUGAGGCCUAGUUUGUGCCUUCACGCUCAAGAGCUUAACCCUGCGGCCUCUUGUGUGAAUAGAGUUCAGCCUCCAAACACCCCCUCCAGGACUGAAAGACUCAUUGUUUUUUUAAAGAACUCCUAAGCCAUUGCCUGGUCAAGAGUCCUCCAACUGUGGCAACUGUAAGACUUGUGGACUUCAACUCCCAGAAUUCCCCCGAUGGGGCUGCUAGUCGCCAGGUCCCCUCUGCUCCCUUUCCUCCAAGAACUCCCCCACUAUGUUUUUCCCACCCUCUGUUAACUUCCGAGCUGUUUGGCACCCCUCUGGCCUUCUUGUUCCAUUCACUUAGGUUACCUUCCCCAUCUUCCAGUCUAUCUGACUCCCCUUCAGUUACCACUAAGCUGCACCCCUUCAAGAUCCGUUCAUUACCUCUACCGCUCUUGGCCCCUCUAUUCACUCUUCGUCUCUUGGCUCCACUGGUCAAUUCCCCUGGUCUCUAGUCUCCCAUGUGGCCUCCCCUCUGCUGAUUGCCCUCCAGCGCUGCCAUGCUGGCUGGAGAACUCUGGGAACUGAAGUCCACCAACCUUACAGUGGCCAAAGGUUGAAGACCCCUGGCCAAGUCCUUCAGACACUUCAUAGGGCUCCACCUCUUCCAGCCUCCCUGCACAAUUCUCUUUAGCUUCCAUCUUGCAGAUGAGAUUAAUGGGAUUAGGAGUGAAGAGUGGUUGGCUUUGCCUUCACUGAUUUGGUGAGACAGCCAAGGUUGAACAGGGACUCUACCUGGAGCAUUAAUUCAGAGGAUCGGGCAGAACAAGAGGCUGCCAUGUUUCAAUUCUGAACUGGCAGAAUCAAGAGGGAACUUGGGGCACAUGAUGGGAUAUGAGGAAGCUCCGUCCUUCUCUGUGAGCAUCAGGGUGUCACAGGAAUAUACAAAAGGGGAGGAUCUUGCAAGGGAAACCUCUGCUUUCACCAGUUUGAUGUCCCACAUGGAAGAGGCAAUCCUGAUGCUCCAACCUUUUUCCUUGGACUCAGAGGACCUAAUUUCUCUGCUCCCAAAGACCUCAUCUCUCACCAACUUAUAAUCAGG
Molecule: long non-coding RNA, 1070 nt
Organism: Thamnophis elegans (Western terrestrial garter snake)
Lineage: Eukaryota; Metazoa; Chordata; Lepidosauria; Squamata; Natricidae
Exons: 2
Source: RefSeq, a predicted model, not a curated record